GGGGAUGACGGUACCGGAAGAAUAAGCACCGGCUAACUACGUGCCAGCAGCCGCGGUAAUAUGUAGGGUGCAAGCGUUAAUCGGAAUUACUGGGCGUAAAGCGUGCGCAGGCGGUUUUGUAAGACGGAUGUGAAAUCCCCGGGCUUAACCUGGGAACUGCAUUCGUGACUGCAAGGCUAGAGUAUGGCAGAGGGGGGUAGAAUUCCACGUGUAGCAGUGAAAUGCGUAGAGAUGUGGAGGAAUACCGAUGGCGAAGGCAGCCCCCUGGGCCAAUACUGACGCUCAUGCACGAAAGCGUGGGGAGCAAACAGGAUUAGAUACCCUGGUAGUCCACGCCCUAAACGAUGUCAACUAGUUGUUGGGGAUUCAUUUCCUUAGUAACGAAGCUAACGCGUGAAGUUGACCGCCUGGGGAGUACGGUCGCAAGAUUAAAACUCAAAGGAAUUGACGG
Molecule: ribosomal RNA, 451 nt
Filed under: uncultured bacterium
Lineage: Bacteria
Description: bacterial SSU rRNA
Rfam family: Bacterial small subunit ribosomal RNA
Source: RNAcentral